Molecule: ribosomal RNA, 388 nt
Filed under: uncultured bacterium
Lineage: Bacteria
Description: bacterial SSU rRNA
Rfam family: Bacterial small subunit ribosomal RNA
Source: RNAcentral
AUUGAACGCUGGCGGCAUGCCUUACACAUGCAAGUCGAACGGCAGCACGGGAGCAAUCCUGGUGGCGAGUGGCGAACGGGUGAGUAAUAUAUCGGAACGUGCCCAGUCGUGGGGGAUAACGUAGCGAAAGCUACGCUAAUACCGCAUACGAUCUAUGGAUGAAAGCGGGGGAUCGCAAGACCUCGCGCGAUUGGAGCGGCCGAUAUCAGAUUAGGUAGUUGGUGGGGUAAAAGCCUACCAAGCCUUCGAUCUGUAGCUGGUCUGAGAGGACGACCAGCCACACUGGAACUGAGACACGGUCCAGACUCCUACGGGAGGCAGCAGUGGGGAAUUUUGGACAAUGGGCGCAAGCCUGAUCCAGCAAUGCCGCGUGCAGGAUGAAGGCCUU